Triticum aestivum (bread wheat) is the source of this 3415-nucleotide RNA transcript. RefSeq lists it as uncharacterized. NCBI's taxonomy places the organism in Eukaryota, Viridiplantae, Streptophyta, Magnoliopsida, Poales, Poaceae. The record is from RefSeq and is a predicted model, not a curated record. The transcript is spliced from 15 exons.
UUCGCUACCUGGUCUGCCCCGACUGCGCGGUGCGGAGUGCAUUGGCGGCUACGCGUGGACGCGACCGGUGCGGCCGGAUGGGGACGGACCCUAGCGGCGCGGUCGGAUGGGUAAUGGACCCUAGCGGCAUGGUCGGAUGGGGCACGGGCGCCAGCGGAGGAGCCGGUUGGGGUGCAGCGGCCAACAUGCAUGAGAUUCAAUACCGAACGAUGAUUAAUCAGGCCAUGAAUGCCAGUCGAUGCUCCGGGUAGUUUAGUUUCAUCGUUAUUCAUGCCAAUUGAUUGAUUGUGAGGUUAAUCCUGUAUGCCAAUCGAUUAAUUGAGAGGUUAAUCGUAUCUUUGUAUAUUCACCCUAGCCUAUAAAAUCCCAAACUUGCCGCUGGUCCUUACCUACUCUACUCAUUUUCGCAAACCACAGUUCAAAAGCAAAGCGAUGGGUGAUGCUUAGAUUCCAACUCUGUUUGGUUUAAGCUUCUCUCCAGGUUGGAAUUCUAGCUACGUACUGCUUGGUAUCUUUGGUUCUUCUAGCUGAUCCAAUGGCUAAUGGACAGGCCACUUUACUGUUGUCGGAACUUAGUCCAUCUGUCAGGCAUGUCGCUGUCCUAGCACGUGUGGCUCGUGUUUGGGAUUUCAAUAAGGACAACGAGUUUAAGCAUCUGGACAUUGUCUUCAUUGAUAAGGAGGGAAACAAGAUGUACAGUGAGAUACUGGCACAAUAUGAGAAAUGUUCAGGGAGAAACUGAAGGAAGGGAAUGCUUGCCUUGUUAGAGAUUUCUUCGUCACCUCCUCAAAGAACAUGUACAGGGCUGUUGAUGGAAAUUUCAUGAUUAAAAUCACUCCCUGGUCAACUGUUGAGGUUAACGAUGAUGUGGCCACUGACUUUCCUCGAUAUGCAUACUCACUUACUAAUUUCCAAGUUCUUCCUAAAAUGGUUGGAAAAUAGACAACUUCAUAGGCAAGUAAAUUACUGUUUUCAUUUACCAUAGGUUUUACUGUGCUAAUUCCUUGAUUAUCCAUGAUACAUCUUCAUGACCAUGUUUAUGUAUACAGAUGUUAUUGGAAUAGUAUCUGGAAUUUCAGACAUGCUGAAGGUACGAUUACCUGCUAGAGAACAAGAAUCAGAUAAAAGGAACUUGCAGAUCACCAAUAUUGAUGGAAACACUAUGGAAGUUGCGCUAUGGGGAGAACAUGCAACUUCCUUCCAGGCUGAUGAUCUAUACAAUCUUGGUUAGAACCAGCCAGUUAUAGUUCUUUUGGUUGGCACUCUUAUGAAAAGUUACCUAGGACGUCCAACAAUAAGCUGCAGUGACGCUGCGAAGAUAUAUAUCAAUCCAGAUAUACCUGAGAAGAUAGAAUAUUGUACCAGACUAGGUAAGCAAAUGCCUACAAUGACAGUCAUGGCAGCACGUGAUGAUCGCUACAAUCCAGCAAUUAAUAAUGAAAGGGCUGACACCGUGAAGGUCGAGUUCCUGGUUACCAUGAAUCCUAAUGAAUUCCUUGGCAAGAAUAUGAUCAGCACGGUCACAAUAAUGAGACUGGCCUCAGAACAUUGGUGGUUCCUCUCUUGCCAAAUGUGCCAUAGGAAGGCAUUUCAAGUUGGGAGUGCAUUUGUUUGCAGCAAUAAAAAAUGUGGUUGUACAUCAGCUACACCAAGGUACAAGGUCCGUCUUAUUGGUGCCGACGAAUCAGGGGAAAUUGAGUUUGUGUUCUUUGCUUCAGUUGCUGAAUAGGCUAUUGGAAGAGAAUCGAAGUUAUCAUGCGCGGUGCAUCCGACCGUCCAUUUGUUGUUCCUGCAGAGAUAACAGCCUUGAUAUCCAAGAAAUUCACUCUUCACUUCACUGUGAAUGAAAAGGGCCUUCACUAUGGGUAACUAUCUUUCCAAGUGAACAGCAUAACACAGGUUCACGCAAAUACAAUUGUAUUCGAGUUCAACAAACUUAGCACUGGGUCAAGCAGCACAUCAACAGAGACAUCCAUGGAAACUAGCAAGGUAAACACUAGCAGUAACGACAAAGAACCCGAGGAGAAGGACAAGGAUAAGGACAACACUAAUGAAAGUGAUAAAAAUGAAGGACAGAUAUCUUCUACAGUUGAUUCAACGAUAAAAUCAUUUCUCAUUUCCUUGUAUCUUUGACUAAUAUAUUUACUUUAUUAUCACCAUGAAUUUUCUUUCAAUAAUUAAAGGAACAGAUAGCACCAUCUUCUGCCAAAGAACAGGAAACACAAUCUUCUGACAUCGCUACUGCAAGCAAAAAUGAUUCACACAAUCCUAGCAAGAAGCCAUCAAAAAGGACCGGCACUGAAGCCAACAAGUCAACUUCCGCAAAGAAGAAGAUGGAUGAUACUGUUGAACAUAGUGCUACUAAAUGUGGUAACGAGUUUAACUGUGGUGAUCACAAAGGAAUCAGCACUGAAGCACUAGCCACCGAUUACAACCAGCAGAUAGAUCAAUCUCAUUAUGACAAGCAUAGAAGGACCACAGAUCCUGAAGCUGAUAUGGAACUAACUACAAAAGGUACAAGGGUACUUCCACGACCAAUUCCUUCGACAAUGCCCGCAGAAUCUUCACUCGGAAAAAGAAAACAAGUGAUUUUCGACAAAUAACAUGUAGAUCCUACAACCAAACUCAUUCAUGUUCCUGGUGCAGCAGCAAAAGCAUAUAUUCCAAAACAUGUACUGCUAACAGAGAUCACAAUCGCACUUGGAUUGUCUAUAUACUCUACUGGGACUAUUCAUGAAUCCACAAUCGAUAUAAGAGGUUGGAUUGACAUAGAAGUACCCCCAAGUGAUGGCAAUGCAUUUGCAAAUAAGCGGAUUCUAUGGGGACACUGCACACACCACAUACCAUGCACUGGAAGAUGCAUGCCAAACUGCAAUGACCCAUUUAAUGGCAAAGUGCAGGGUUCAGAUUGAAGAUGCAAAUACAAAGAGGUUGUCGCCCUACGAAGAAAAUUACAUGCAGCAACAACCUUUGAAAACACAUUCAAAGAAAACAGUGAUGUCAACACAAAAUAUAUGGCUGCUCUAAAAGAUUCCAAUGAAAAAAUGGUACAUGCAAUCCAUCAGAUAUGUAUUGACAGUGCUGGUCUCCUGCCGAUAAAGGUAUCAACAGAAGAGACAACAAAAUCAACUUACAUUAAGGUGCAGUGUGAUGGACCUGUUCCACCUACAACUCAAAAAGAAAAGGUGGCGUCUGGGCAACUUUAGCAUCAACACAUGUGACAGUUGGUCUUCUUACAGUCAAAAAAGAAGAUGAACAUUACUGACAUGGCCUCUUCUGCUUCUAUCACCAUUCCGAAGUACACUGUUAAGAAAUAUUAUAGCUGCCUUGCACGGCAUUUAAAUAAAAUAGUAUUGCAAGUUCUUUGCUCAUUUUUUUGAGAAAUACUCUGUACCACCUUUCAUAACAUUUCAAU